CCAAGAAGCUGAUAAGCUGCUGUGAACCCUCCAGGGCGAGUAAGGUAUGAUCCAUCUUCCCUGUCUGGACAAGCUUGAUCUGGCCUCCCUCCUCCUGCUUUAGCAGGCCUGAGGUUUGAGUGCUGUGAAGUUCUCCUUUAAACUUGUAUGGGGAUUGGACUUGGCAGUGAUUUAAGAUCUCUGUGGUGGAGCCAGUGAAUCCAUAUGUUUACAACUUUUCCAAGGUGAUUUUGAUGUCUAGCCCUGGUUGGAACAUGGUCCAGAACACCUAGAUUCUAGGAUUUUCAGGAAUAAGAGAGAGAGAGACGGCACCUCAACAAGAACUUGAGUUCACCUCCUGCUUCAGCCAGCCUCAUAUGACAGGCACACACUUGCCUGGCAUGUGUUCAGGAAGAUCUUCAGCUGUAAACCCGGAACUUUCCCAGGUGAACUCUUCUCAACCAAGUAAGAUGCUCCGGUGCUGAGGACCUACUAGGCGCCCAGUAGGGACAGCUCAAUGGAAACAUUAGCACCUCACCUCUGCACAGACCCUGCAUUCCUUCUAAUUCUUCAACUACUUAAGAAUCUACAGAGGACUAUGAGUGCACACCCAAGAGUAAAUUGUUCCCAAGGGGCAGAGGAGAACAUGUCAUUGUACAGUGCAAGCACACUGAUGAAGAGAAAAAGAAGUAUUAAGAGAGCUUAAGUGGGAAGAUCACACACUGCUGAUUUCUGACAUCAUAUCCAUGAGAUCCACACAGUAGGGAAGUGCUAACCUUGGAAUCCAAUGGUUACCCCAACUAUCAUUUGACUUAAGGAUUUUACUGUUCCCUGCUCUUUCAUGUACAUUUGAGGUACUCUAGCAUCAAGGGAAUGAACCUGAAAAGAGAAAUCUAACGAGUAUUUUAUGCAAGAAUAAUAGAGACCUAAAAGUACACUUCCUCAUAUGCAAGGAAGCUAUUUCCUAGAAUCCUUGAGCUAUAAAAAGCCUAAGUGAAUUUGCUUAAGUUAAUAAAUUUUAUUUAAUUAUGAUCAUCCCACAGCAAGUGUUUUAUAUUUCCUCUCUUUUUAUUGCUUCCUCUUAGUUACUGAAACAAGAACUUCAAUGUUACUAUUUUGUGCUCUGAUAAUGAUGAGGCUGUCUCAUUUGUUCCAUCUGUGCUUCACAAUGUAUGACUGUGUGUGUAUAUAAUUAAAUUGAAUAAGACAGCUGUAUUGUAUGGUUGCUACAAACAGAUGUAAGGCUAAAGAUGGGGCCCAAUGUUAUAGGAGCAAAAUCCCAUCCUAAGUUGCUCCCUCUGUUUUGGCAUUCAUUGUCUGCACUAGGGGGAGAAACUAACCUUCACUUCUCAAAAAUGAUGUGAAAAAUCUGCGGUGUGAACCUAUUCUCUUUUCAUCACCCUUGGGUGAGAGUGAAGUUCUCCAGUUGAAUUAAAGGGACCAGUUUGUCUUGGUUUAUUCAUGUCCCAUAUUCCUAGGAAAAGCCUGGGCACUCCUGGGUCAACUGAUGGAGUCUAGCAGCCCUAUAUGCUUCUUCCCCAGUAGUGAUGUUGGUGAUGGUUUAGCUGACAACACCUGAGUGUGGUAUCUUCUCUCACUUACUCCUCACAGCUUCCUUUCAAGGCUGGUGU
This is a long non-coding RNA of Tupaia belangeri chinensis (Chinese tree shrew), 1610 nucleotides long. RefSeq lists it as uncharacterized. Lineage: Eukaryota; Metazoa; Chordata; Mammalia; Scandentia; Tupaiidae. The transcript has 7 exons. The record is from RefSeq and is a predicted model, not a curated record.